This 468-nucleotide ribosomal RNA is filed under the name uncultured bacterium. RNAcentral describes it as "partial 16S ribosomal RNA". It matches the Rfam family "Bacterial small subunit ribosomal RNA", at positions 28 to 507 of the family's 1533-position model. The record is from RNAcentral.
GACGAACGCUGGCGGCGUGCUUAACACAUGCAAGUCGAACGGAAAGGCCCUGCUUUUGUGGGGUGCUCGAGUGGCGAACGGGUGAGUAACACGUGAGUAACCUGCCCUUGACUUUGGGAUAACUUCAGGAAACUGGGGCUAAUACCGGAUAGGAGCUCCUGCUGCAUGGUGGGGGUUGGAAAGUUUCGGCGGUUGGGGAUGGACUCGCGGCUUAUCAGCUUGUUGGUGGGGUAGUGGAUUACCAAGGCUUUGACGGGUAGCCGGCCUGAGAGGGUGACCGGCCACAUUGGGAUUGAGAUACGGCCCAGACUCCUACGGGAGGCAGCAGUGGGGAAUAGUGCACAAUGGGCGGAAGCCUGAUGCAGCAACGCCGCGUGCGGGAUGACGGCCUUCGGGUUGUAAACCGCUUUCGCCUGUGACGAAGCGUGAGGGACGGUAAUGGGUAAAGAAGCACCGGCUAACUACGUG